Molecule: ribosomal RNA, 528 nt
Filed under: Exiguobacterium aurantiacum
Lineage: Bacteria; Bacillati; Bacillota; Bacilli; Caryophanales
Description: bacterial SSU rRNA
Rfam family: Bacterial small subunit ribosomal RNA
Source: RNAcentral
CCGCGUGAACGAUGAAGGCCCUCGGGUCGUAAAGUUCUGUUGUAAGGGAAGAACAAGUGCCGCAGGCAAUGGCGGCACCUUGACGGUACCUUGCGAGAAAGCCACGGCUAACUACGUGCCAGCAGCCGCGGUAAUACGUAGGUGGCAAGCGUUGUCCGGAAUUAUUGGGCGUAAAGCGCGCGCAGGCGGCCUCUUAAGUCUGAUGUGAAAGCCCCCGGCUCAACCGGGGAGGGCCAUUGGAAACUGGGAGGCUUGAGUAUAGGAGAGAAGAGUGGAAUUCCACGUGUAGCGGUGAAAUGCGUAGAGAUGUGGAGGAACACCAGUGGCGAAGGCGACUCUUUGGCCUAUAACUGACGCUGAGGCGCGAAAGCGUGGGGAGCAAACAGGAUUAGAUACCCUGGUAGUCCACGCCGUAAACGAUGAGUGCUAGGUGUUGGAGGGUUUCCGCCCUUCAGUGCUGAAGCUAACGCAUUAAGCACUCCGCCUGGGGAGUACGGUCGCAAGGCUGAAACUUAAAGGAAUUGACGG